AGAAUAAAGCUCUUCAUCUGUAUGACUGUCUGAGGGCCAAUAAAUCAACUUCAGCUUGGGGUGUUGAGGCUCGUGUGCCCUUUUUGGAUAAAGAAUUCAUCAAUAUUGCCAUGAACAUUGAUCCAGAAUGGAAAAUGAUCAGGCCUGGGAGAAUUGAGAAGUGGGUCUUACGCAAUGCAUUUGACAAUGAUCAGAAGCCAUAUUUGCCAAAGCACAUAUUGUACAGGCAGAAGGAACAGUUCAGUGAUGGUGUUGGCUACAGUUGGAUUGAUGGCUUGAAAGAUCAUGCAAACAGUCAAGUAAGCAUCACCUUAACUUAAAG
Non-coding RNA from Malus domestica (apple), 322 nucleotides. NCBI's taxonomy places the organism in Eukaryota, Viridiplantae, Streptophyta, Magnoliopsida, Rosales, Rosaceae. The record is from RefSeq and is a predicted model, not a curated record.